AUACGUAGGGGGCGAGCGUUGUCCGGAAUGAUUGGGCGUAAAGGGCGCGUAGGCGGCCCGGUAAGUCUGGAGUGAAAGUCCUGUUUUUAAGAUGGGAAUUGCUUUGGAUACUGUCGGGCUUGAGUGCAGGAGAGGUAAGUGGAAUUCCCAGUGUAGCGGUGAAAUGCGUAGAGAUUGAGAGGAACACCAGUGGCGAAGGCGACUUACCGGACUCCAACUGACUAUGAGGCUAGAAAGUGUGGGGAGCAGACAGGCUUAGAUACACUGGCAUUCCACACUGUAAACAAUAAAUACUAGGUGUCGUGUUUCUACAGAGAUUCGGUGCUGCAGCCAACACAAUAAGUAAUCCACCUGGGGAGCACGUUCGCACGAAUGCAGCUCAAAGGACUUGACGGGC
Molecule: ribosomal RNA, 397 nt
Filed under: uncultured bacterium
Lineage: Bacteria
Description: partial 16S ribosomal RNA
Rfam family: Bacterial small subunit ribosomal RNA
Source: RNAcentral